RNAcentral lists this ribosomal RNA (619 nucleotides) under uncultured cyanobacterium. Its description in RNAcentral is "bacterial SSU rRNA". It matches the Rfam family "Bacterial small subunit ribosomal RNA", at positions 123 to 770 of the family's 1533-position model. The record is from RNAcentral. Lineage: Bacteria; Bacillati; Cyanobacteriota.
AAUCUGCCUUCAGGAUGGGGAUAACAGGAGAGAAAUCGCUGCUAAAACCCAAUGUGCCGAGAGGUGAAAUAUUAAUAGCCUGAAGAGGAGCUCGCGUCCGAUUAUGUUAGUUGGUGUGGGUAAAGGCCUACCAAGGCAGUGAUCGGUAGCUGGUCUGAGAGGAUGAGCAGCCACACUGGGACUGAGACACGGCCCAGACUCCUACGGGAGGCAGCAGUGGGGAAUUUUCCGCAAUGGGCGAAAGCCUGACGGAGCAAUACCGCGCUGAGGGAGGAAGGCUUUUGGGUUGUAAACCUCUUUUUUAAAGGAAGAAGAAAGUGACGGUACUUUAAGAAUAAGCAUCGGCUAACUCCGUGCCAGCAGCCGCGUAAUACGCGAGGAUGCAAGCGUUAUCCGGAAUCAUUGGGCGUAAAGCGUCCGCAGGUGGUUAAUCAAGUCUGCUGUUAAAGACAGAAGCUCAACUUCUGAUGGGCAGUGGAAACUGGUAAACUGGAGUACGGUAGGGGUUGAGGGAAUUCCCAGUGUAGCGGUGAAAUGCGUAGAUAUUGGGAAGAACACCAGUGGCGAAGGCGCUCAACUGGGCCGUAACUGACACUCAGGGACGAAAGCUAGGGUAGCG